This 1194-nucleotide ribosomal RNA is filed under the name bacterium. RNAcentral describes it as "bacterial SSU rRNA". It matches the Rfam family "Bacterial small subunit ribosomal RNA", at positions 56 to 1233 of the family's 1533-position model. The record is from RNAcentral.
UGCAGUCGAGCGAACAGAAGGGAGCUUGCUCCCGGAUGUUAGCGGCGGACGGGUGAGUAACACGUGGGUAACCUGCCUGUAAGACUGGGAUAACUCCGGGAAACCGGAGCUAAUACCGGAUAGUUCCUUGAACCGCAUGGUUCAAGGAUGAAAGACGGUUUCGGCUGUCACUUACAGAUGGACCCGCGGCGCAUUAGCUAGUUGGUGGGGUAAUGGCUCACCAAGGCGACGAUGCGUAGCCGACCUGAGAGGGUGAUCGGCCACACUGGGACUGAGACACGGCCCAGACUCCUACGGGAGGCAGCAGUAGGGAAUCUUCCGCAAUGGACGAAAGUCUGACGGAGCAACGCCGCGUGAGUGAUGAAGGUUUUCGGAUCGUAAAGCUCUGUUGUUAGGGAAGAACAAGUGCGAGAGUAACUGCUCGCACCUUGACGGUACCUAACCAGAAAGCCACGGCUAACUACGUGCCAGCAGCCGCGGUAAUACGUAGGUGGCAAGCGUUGUCCGGAAUUAUUGGGCGUAAAGGGCUCGCAGGCGGUUUCUUAAGUCUGAUGUGAAAGCCCCCGGCUCAACCGGGGAGGGUCAUUGGAAACUGGGAAACUUGAGUGCAGAAGAGGAGAGUGGAAUUCCACGUGUAGCGGUGAAAUGCGUAGAGAUGUGGAGGAACACCAGUGGCGAAGGCGACUCUCUGGUCUGUAACUGACGCUGAGGAGCGAAAGCGUGGGGAGCGAACAGGAUUAGAUACCCUGGUAGUCCACGCCGUAAACGAUGAGUGCUAAGUGUUAGGGGGUUUCCGCCCCUUAGUGCUGCAGCUAACGCAUUAAGCACUCCGCCUGGGGAGUACGGUCGCAAGACUGAAACUCAAAGGAAUUGACGGGGGCCCGCACAAGCGGUGGAGCAUGUGGUUUAAUUCGAAGCAACGCGAAGAACCUUACCAGGUCUUGACAUCCUCUGACAACCCUAGAGAUAGGGCUUUCCCUUCGGGGACAGAGUGACAGGUGGUGCAUGGUUGUCGUCAGCUCGUGUCGUGAGAUGUUGGGUUAAGUCCCGCAACGAGCGCAACCCUUGAUCUUAGUUGCCAGCAUUUAGUUGGGCACUCUAAGGUGACUGCCGGUGACAAACCGGAGGAAAGGGGGGGGAUGACGUCAAAUCAUCAUGGCCCUUAUGACCUGGGCUACACACGUGCUACAAUGG